RNAcentral lists this RNase P RNA (333 nucleotides) under human gut metagenome. RNAcentral describes it as "Bacterial RNase P class A". It matches the Rfam family "Bacterial RNase P class A". From Rfam's summary of the family: Ribonuclease P (RNase P) is a ubiquitous endoribonuclease, found in archaea, bacteria and eukarya as well as chloroplasts and mitochondria. Its best characterised activity is the generation of mature 5'-ends of tRNAs by cleaving the 5'-leader elements of precursor-tRNAs. The record is from RNAcentral.
AGUAAGUCAGAUAAUCGCUGGUGCAUUAUGCACGAGAGGAAAGUCCGGGCUCCACAGAGCAGGGUGCCAGCUAACGGCUGGUGGAGGUAACUCUAAGGAAAGUGCAACAGAAAUAAACCGCCUCUUUUUUAGAGGUAAGGAUGGAAAGGCAGGGUAAGAGCCUACCAGAGAUAUGGAGACAUAUCUGCUAUGUAAACCCCACCUGGAGCAACACAAAAAGAAUAUAUAGAUUGCUCGUCUUUUCUUUUUAUUUAUGUGGCUUGAGGCAUAUAGCAAUAUAUGUCCUAGAUAAAUGAUUAUCUAAUACAGAACCCGGCUUACAGAUUUGCUCUU